This 1039-nucleotide long non-coding RNA is filed under the name Nicotiana benthamiana. Its description in RNAcentral is "long non-coding RNA (NBEN_LNC008505)". The record is from RNAcentral. Lineage: Eukaryota; Viridiplantae; Streptophyta; Magnoliopsida; Solanales; Solanaceae.
UGACUUUUUGUUGUUUGAAUGGUAGCUUUCCAUAAAAUGAGUAGAACAGGAACGGACUUGAAUAAUUUAUUCUAUGGUUUUUUUUGUUUCAAUUCUUACGGCCAAGAGAAGUUCUUGUACAAAGCGAUAACUACUGAGAUCCAUAACAAGGAAACUACUUGCAUUCUCUUAGGGACACCAUAACAUACCUGAGACAUGUAAGCUUGAUGCUCGCCAAGAAACUUACUUAUUUGACGAGACUAAUCAAAGUAAAAUGUCCUGUCGCUUCUUUAACUUGCUAACUAGAGAAAAUAACAUUUUUAUAUCUCAUAAAUGUGCAUUCUUACAAAUAUAAGAACCAAAGAAAGGUCGUGAUCUCCUUUUUGAUUACUUUGACUUUUUGUUGUUUGAAUGGUAGCUUUCCAUAAAAUGAGUAGAACAGGAACGGACUUGAAUAAUUUAUUCUAUGGUUUUUUUUGUUUCAAUUCUUACGGCCAAGAGAAGUUCUUGUACAAAGCGAUAACUACUGAGAUCCAUAACAAGGAAACUACUUGCAUUCUCUUAGGGACACCAUAACAUACCUGAGACAUGUAAGCUUGAUGCUCGCCAAGAAACUUACUUAUUUGACGAGACUAAUCAAAGUAAAAUGUCCUGUCGCUUCUUUAACUUGCUAACUAGAGAAAAUAACAUUUUUAUAUCUCAUAAAUGUGCAUUCUUACAAAUAUCUUAUGUCCCUUAGAUUCGUGAUUAGGCAGCGCCAGAGUCUGUGCUAGUUGUGUUAUUACACUCUAUCAUUUAUACUCGCAUUAGACUAAAACAUUACUUAUACUUAGACCUGAUAUCCUGAUAUAUGGUGUUUUUCCAUUCUUGGUGGAAUUCAUCAGAGUGUUCUUUUUGAGGAAUUCAUCCUAAUUUUCGUGUAAUCAAUAUCGUCCUUGUUUGAAACUUUGAAUUAUUUAGAUUCCAAGUUUACCAAAAGAUUUUUGACGAGAAAUAUAUGCAUUAUUUCCUACUUGUAAUCACUAAGUGUGGUUUAGAACAGGACUAAAACUCUGUCUCG